UACAGAGGGGGCAAGCGUUGUUCGGAAUUACUGGGCGUAAAGGGCGCGUAGGCGGCCUUCUAAGUCGAACGUGAAAUCCCCGGGCUCAACCCGGGAACUGCGUCCGAUACUGGAAGGCUUGAAUCCGGGAGAGGGAUGCGGAAUUCCAGGUGUAGCGGUGAAAUGCGUAGAUAUCUGGAGGAACACCGGUGGCGAAGGCGGCUCUCUGGAACGCAACUGACGCUGAGACGCGAAAGCGUGGGGAGCAAACAGG
This 253-nucleotide ribosomal RNA is filed under the name uncultured bacterium. RNAcentral's name for it is "partial 16S ribosomal RNA". It matches the Rfam family "Bacterial small subunit ribosomal RNA", at positions 524 to 776 of the family's 1533-position model. The record is from RNAcentral.